Long non-coding RNA from Polyodon spathula (Mississippi paddlefish), 1789 nucleotides. RefSeq lists it as uncharacterized. The transcript is spliced from 3 exons. The record is from RefSeq and is a predicted model, not a curated record. Lineage: Eukaryota; Metazoa; Chordata; Actinopteri; Acipenseriformes; Polyodontidae.
UAUUCCUUUUAUUUGUUACUUCAGGCUGUUAUUCCAGACUUGGGGGGCUAUUCAAGUUUAUGUAUAAGCACCACAGCUAUUUUAAUCAUUGUGUUAUUGGACCAUCCCUCACAUUUCACACAGACCAAAAAAAACACUUGAGGUAUAAUAAAAAUCAAACCCAUUGAUCUAGCCAACCAGAACUGCACUGAAGAAAGUAUAAUUUGAAGUUACUCACUCUCUUUAAAUGUGCUGUUUGUCUGUCUCUGAUAUGCCAUGCCUGUGUUAAUGCAUAGAUGAUCCAGAGAGCUUCCAGCUGGAGGUCAGUGGCCUCCUCAAAGAGGUGGCCUGUCCAUAUCCAACACUAAUCUCUGGAGAUAUAAAGGACAGACUGAAGAAAAAAGAAGACUGUCUGAAACCGAGUUUACAGGCACAGACCGACAACACGGCGAAAGCAUAUCAGCCCAAUAGACAUGCACUGUCAAUCCAGUCCCUCAUCAGUGUUGCACAUCUGCUGGCUGCACAAGAAGACUUUUCCAAUAUCAUAAAGACAAGUAGUGGAUCUACUCGAGAAAGGACAGCAUGUCCUAUUAGCAAGGCUAUUUAAGCAUGGUAUGACAUGCAAGAUGUACCCAAGCUACAGUGCAGGGCACCAGCUGGAAAACCAGAAAUACCACAUGGAAUUGUGUUAUCUGUUAGUGUCAAGUGAACGGUGAGUAUGACGUUUUGAGAUAGGCAUCGUAUUAACUUGUAUCAUGUAAUAUGUACAAUAUUCUGUAUACAUGCAUACAUUAAAAUAUGGUAACUUUACUAGAAACCAAAAAAGUACAAAUCUGAACACUAUUGUUUACUGUGACAAGUUGCCUCAUGCAAAGAGCAGUGUUCUGUAAUAACAGUAGUAAUCACUGUAUCAAUCUGUUCAAGGUAAGCAUGGAUGUGCCUUUCUUGAUGUGGACAGUGUUGCCAUCAACCAAAAUUAAGUUGGAGCCGACUGCACUAAUAUAAGCUCUCACAAUUGUAUGCAGGAUCUCAUCUGCAUGCCUAACAACAGUGAGGGGACAUUCUGGGAGACCUGCAGGUCUGUGCUUCCCUCUAUGUUGAUUCCAGUUCUAACUUGUGGUCAUUUGUCAAUUGGGUAGCGUUUGUGAAAGGUCACCAUGUGACUCUUUUUAGGACUUCUUCCCGUGGGAUUGUGCUUCUUGUGCAUUCCCCACCAUGCCUGAUAAAACAAUGUUUGGUGGGUGUGGCACUUUCUCUUGUUAUCAGGGUCUAAUAAAUGACUUCAUGAACCACCUGCUGUUAUUCCUCAUUUUCCACCUGUAAAUGGUAUCAAAUCAGCCAGUAAAUAAAUUAAUAGCACAGUAUGGAACUCCUCUGUUGAAAAUCCUAAGCAAACCUUUAGUAUAUGUAUUUUUUAUGACAAAAUAUCUCAUAAUAUUUAUCAGCUAACCUUGUAUCAAAUAAUGUUAUGCUCUUUACAAUUUGCAAAGAUAAAGUUGGUUGUGCUUUUUGUUAUUUGUGUUCAUUUGAAGUGUAUUGCAACUUGCAUUUUAAUUUAGGGUUAACCUGAACUGCACAGCUUGAAUCACUUUUGAUCGAAAACCUAUUGCAAAACAAAUGAGUAGAAAAUGAUAAAUGAAUGCUGUUUCCUCAUAGUUUUUCUUUAUGGAAUGAUGUCCUUUUUGAAAAAUACAGACAUAUGUGUAUUGUUAAGCUUAUAUCUCCUGAUUUGUCUUUUUUUUUCUCUAAAUACUACUGUGAAAUAUUCUUUGCAUCUAUUUUGUUUUCAUUUUCAAUAAAUAUAGGCGAU